Molecule: ribosomal RNA, 544 nt
Filed under: uncultured Glomeromycotina
Lineage: Eukaryota; Fungi; Glomeromycota
Description: SSU rRNA
Rfam family: Eukaryotic small subunit ribosomal RNA
Source: RNAcentral
UUGGAGGGCAAGUCUGGUGCCAGCAGCCGCGGUAAUUCCAGCUCCAAUAGCGUAUAUUAAAGUUGUUGCAGUUAAAAAGCUCGUAGUUGAAUUUCGGGGUUCUACCGUUGGUCGGGCUUUGUCUGUACUGGUGUGUAGAAUUUCUACCUUCUGGGGAACCAUCAUGCUAUUAAUUUAGCGUGGUGGGAAACCAGGACCUUUACCUUGAAAAAAUUAGUGUGUUCAAAGCAGGCUUAUGUCUGAAUACAUUAGCGUGGAAUAAUAGAAUGGGACGGUGGUCCUGUUUUGUCGGUUUCUGAAUCACCGUAAUGAUUAAUAGGGAUAGUUGGGGGCAUUAGUAUUCAAUUGUCAGAGGUGAAAUUCUUGGAUUUAUUGAAGACUAACUUCUGCGAAAGCAUUUGCCAAGGAUGUUUUCAUUAAUCAAGAACGAAAGUUAGGGGAUCGAAGACGAUCAGAUACCGUCGUAGUCUUAACCAUAAACUAUGCCGACUAGGGAUCGGACGAUGUUAAUUUUUCUUGACUCGUUCGGCGCCUUACGGGAAAC